AUGUACCACACACAUUUCUUUUAUACCUCAUGUUCCAUACUAUUCACUCUAACAAUUCCGAUGUGGGACUUAUCAUCACAUACUGCACACUAUUAUACCUGCAUUACAUCGUACUUUGGCAAGCUGUACGUAUCUAUCUACAUGCUCACAUGCGAGGAAUUUUACACUAAUUGUCACCUCCAUUAG
This is a non-coding RNA of Vicia faba (fava bean), 186 nucleotides long. NCBI's taxonomy places the organism in Eukaryota, Viridiplantae, Streptophyta, Magnoliopsida, Fabales, Fabaceae. The record is from the annotation of a GenBank genome assembly.